ACCUCGUGAUCCACCCACCUCGGCCUCCCAAAGUGCUGGCAUUACAGGUGUGUGCCAUCAUGCUCGGCCUCUUAAUCCAUUUUACUGCUAAUAAUCUAGUUCAUGUUACCAUAAUCUCAGCUAUACUAUUGCAACUAGUCUCUCCUCCUUCUUCAUGCCCCAAUCUACUAUCCACACAGCAAUCAGCAUGAAGUUCUAAAAAUGUAAAUCAGUGUUACUUCCCUGCUUAAAACACUUGAGAACUUCUUAUUAUACUUGGGAUAGUAGAUAAACUUUUUCCUGUUAUUCUUUUUGUGAUUUGACCCUCAUCUACCUCUCUGAUGUCAUUUUGUAUCUCCUUUCUACUUGUUCACUAUGCUGUGGACUCAUUGACCUUUCAGCUCAGAAAAAUAUGGUGGCUAUUCUGCCUGUUCUUUUCUAAGGACCUUGUGCUCUGAAUUGUUUGUUGAUGUCUUUUUCUCCACAUAGUUUGUGUCUGUAUGUCUGGUUUCUGUUCAGAUAAUGUCUCCUAUGAGUAACUUUCCUUCCUAUCUCUGGUACAUUUAUUUUCUUUAUGUCAUUUUAUUACCAUUUGAAAUUUGAUUAGUUUCUGUCUCCUUCCCCAGAAUGUAUAAGCUCUUUGAGAGUGAUAAUUUUGUCUGUUUACUACUGUAAACUCAGAAUCUAGAUUAGGGCCUUGCUCAUGGUAGGCUGGCACAUGUCAAUUAUUGUUGCAUGCAUGAAUGAUUAUUGUUGCAUGAUAAACAAAUAAGUGGUUUUGUCUGUGUGGAGUAUCCUUCCUUCAUUUUUCUUUAGCACAUUGUUCGCGUUGUUUUCUUUGCAUACCUAGCACAUCAUUCCUCAUACAGCAUGUAGUGUACUGAACUACAGUUGGCAUUUUAUGGAAUGUCUCAUAUAAUAAGUGAUCUUUGUGAGAUUAGUGAUUACAGCUUAUUCAUGUUAGUAUCUGUGUUAUGUAUCAAAGUACCUACUCAGCAAUAGGACUCAAUUACAUGAAUUAAUGGAUGAAUUAUUCCAUUAGAAUUCAACCAUAAUGAAUUCAGAUAAUAGAGAAUCAGAGGAUUGGUUUUCUGAAAUCAGAUUCUAUCCUGCCAAUACUGAUCUUACUGAUCUGAUCCUGUCUAAAUUACCAUAUAUCUAAAAGGAUGCAGGAUAUAAGCAUUCUCUGCAUCUAUAGAUUCAACAAGAGGCAUGACUCAUCCAGUCCAGAGUAAGAGCUGCAUGAUAUUUAGACAAAGCCCUCUGAAAAUAAUGGAGACAAUCAAUAAUGCUGUAUUUCUUUCAGCCCGCCAUGUCUUAGGGAUAUACAAUGCAGCAAUGCAAAGAGUACUGAGUAAUCUCAAAGAAGGCACAUUACUGUCUUCAAUUUCCUUCUCUAUUAGAGAAUCGUAUGGUUACAGGGGACCUAAAAUAACUUUUUUACAAAGCCAAGCAUCCCGUAGUGUUAUGCUGAGUACAUCCCUAGAUUUCCACCUUAGUUUAUGAUAAAUAGGAAUAGUUGGAUGGAUUCCCUCGUACUCAGUUCACCAACAUACAUGUAGGAUGUUGAGUGAAGUAGUGGCAGGAUACUAAAGGUCAGGAGAGUGGCCUUUUAUACCUGUUAAAGAUCCCUGCUCAGGAGAAGCCACCCUUUGUGAAAUGGUCUGAUUCAUCAUAUUCUGAUCCACCCAUAUCUCCACUGUUCUUUCUUUGUUGUUUAUUUCCUAAAUUCUUCAAGUACUAAUUUCUGCUUGUUUUAGCAGCUUGCAGAUUUAGGUUGACAUUAGUCCUAGCUAGCAUAAAUUUUACGGAAGAAUCUCUUUGGAAAUCAUAGCCUCCUUAUGUACAUCUGUCAUCUUUUAUACUUUCUUAUAUUUCCCUUAUUGACCUAACAAAUGCUUGAGGCAUAUGUGCUGAAGAGCAAUGAUCCUUGAACUGAGGUAGUAGAAUAUGCAUGUGUAAGAGAGAUCUGAAAUCCAAAAUAGGUGAAGAGUUUUGGAGAGUUCCCAGCUAGGAUUUAAUCUCAUGUAGUUUGUUACUGUGAAUUCCAUAUCUGAUUAUUAUAGAAAUAUGCCUGGGAGAUAAUGAACUGCUACCUGUGGUCUUUGAUAUAUUGUUAUAAAUGGAAAUGAGAGGAUAUUGGAGGUUGGCAAAUUUAGUUGAUUAUGCCAAAUUGAGAAGUGAGGUCUACUUUUCUUUUUUUAUCAUGGUUUUUAACCCAGAAUAUCAAACGUAUGCUGCAUACUCUGCCUCGGUGAACCUUGAGACAGUGUGUUUACUCCUAUAGUCAGGCCUCUAACUCUGCAGGAGACUCUCAUAGAGAUUCUCAGUAACUAUGCAGGAGAUUCUCAACCCUGGACUUUUUGUUUCUAGUCAUUUGUGUCUCACUGCAUAUACAAUCUCUCCACUUGGUUACUUAGAUACUUAGAUAUCCCCAUCAUCUCAAACUGGUCCCAUUAUAAUACUUUCCCCAGAUGUAUAAUAUUUCUUCUAUUGUUUCCUAUCACCCAUCAGUGACAUUAUUUUGUGUCUCAGACUAAGGACUCUAUAGUCAUUCUUUAUUUCUCCCCUUUCUUCAUCCUCACACUCACAUGACCACCAUAUUUUGUCAGUUUUACUGCAGAUUUAUCUCCUGGAUCUAAGCCUCCUCUUUGUCCUCGGCAUGGCUUGUUUUAUUCUGGCUCUGGCUACCUUGUAUCUGGAUUAUUUCCAGAAUUUUUCUAAUGAGUCUUUUUCUACCAUCAUGAUAUCUUCAUAUCAGUCCUUCUCCUACAUUGCUGCAAGAGUCAUCUUUCUAUAAACAAAUAUUAUCAUGUAAUUUUCUUGCCUUAAAGCUCCUGGUAAGCUCUCCUUUGUCUAGAAUAAAUUUCAAAUUUCUUACCUUGGCUUGCAAGCCUCCUGAAAAUCGGACAUUAAAGUUGAAUUUUUUAGUCUUUUCUACUACCACUUGUCUUUUAUGGAAUUGUUCCUUUGCAUGUUAACAACAGUCGUUGAUUAUUUCUUAUCUAAUUAAUGUCUUUGCACAUGCUAUUUCCUCUGCCAUUUUUCUUCUCCACCAGACAAGCUUUCUUAUAAAUCCUAUAAGAUCUGGUGGGAAAUCUCAUCUGCUUUAUGAUACUUUUUGUGACGUUCUCUGCAGCUUAAGCAAUUCCUUCUAGUGAAGUUACUUGCAUUCAAGUAGGGCUCUUCCAUAGCUCCUGUCACAUCAUGUUAUAAUUGUUUGUUCAUUGCCUGUCAGCCACCAUCCCUUUCACCUGGCCCCCAUCUCUAUGCCAGUAGGCAUGAUUAAUAUUUUGUGAGCAAUAAUCUUUAAUGGUUUGGGACCUUUCGGGAAGGCACAGAUGGUCCUCCUCUUGGAGCCACAAUGUACAUUAGCCUAUUAAGGGUGCUGACUCUGAGAAGGUCUGUAGAACUUAAGACCCUGUGUUUAACCAGGGUUUCCCAAAUAUUUUUAACCAGGGAACUCUUCUUUUGAAGAACAUCUAUUAUUAGUCAAGGAAUUCAGUAUGGGAAAUGUUCUGCAUCAAAUACUCGCUAAAGCAUUAAAAAAUGAUAGUCAAAAAGCCAUUUUUGCUUAAUUGUCAGCAUUAGCAUCUUUAUCGCUCCUUAUUUCUUCUCUUUUCCAGAGGCUUUUAUUAUUUUAUUACUCCAGCCACCUAGUUGGAGUAUGAUAUGGGUAAUGUAUGAUAUGGGUAAUGCCCUCAGAGGACUGGUACCCUGGGUUCUGUUUUUACAAUGGAUAGGCUUCCAAAUCUUACUGAUUCAUGGGGGCUAACAGCUUGUAAGGUAAUUAGCUAUUAUGUUGAAGGACAAUUUCUUUGAAUAUAUGUAGAUCACCAUUUUAAUCAGUGACUUGAAUAACAGUGUGAAUUGAUGGCAGAUAUGUUAUAGGUAAGAUUCAGGAUGCAUGAAGAAGGUUUUAUAGGCUGGAAUGAAAUGGUGGGAAAAUCUAGAAGAAAUAACUUUAAUAGUUGUAUAAAAAAGUAUCCUGGGCUGCGAACCUCUACAUAACUAGAAUAAUCACUGAAAUACAGUUCCAAAAGUCCUUCAAGUGUGGACUUGUGUCAGCAAUGAUGCACUUUUAUGCUGAACCCAUAGAUUCCUCAAUUAAUGCUGAUCUUGUGGUGGUGACGACUGGCUCAGUGUCUCCAUCAGCAUUUUAAAUCUUUUAUUGGUGUGAACUGCUUUUACAAUUUCCUAUAGUUUUCCAGGAAUUCAUCUCUAUUUUAAGAUUCCUCAAACAACUUGGGGCAAAUUCUUCCAAGGCUUGAUCAGACAUGUUAAAUGACAUUCCCAGUAGUGGUAAGCAUAUGAGUGAAAUUAUGUGGAAGACGUGCCUUUUGAGUUUUGACUGCUUCAGGUUGAAUUUUUUUCUCCUCUGGGGUACUUUUAAGGGGUUAGAGGGUUUUGCUGUCUCCCUUUCUUCAAAAUUUUUGAUCUACAUGACCUGGAAUCAAACUUUUUCCCACUUAUUACUCUUUCUUUGUUGGAACCCAUUAGUACUCAUGCAAAGUGUGCUCCUGUCAGCUAAAAUAACUAUCACUGAAUUAUGCAUAAUUCAUUUGUAGUAUGGGUACAUUUCAACUAAUAUUUGUAUUUUUCUUAUGCAAUUUAUAUAUUUUUUAAAAAAACCUUUUAAGGUAAGUAUACAUGAUUGGGUUGACUUAAAUAACACAAUCAUCAUUAUAUUGGUAUGUUUCUUGAAUAGAGCAGGCCAGCCUCCAGGCAGAGUCUGGCUCACUUGAGUUUGCUUCCUGGCUCUUCCAUUUACUGUUGUAUGACCUUGGGCAAUUACUUAGCUUUUCUUAGUCUGUUUCCUCAUCAUCAAAGUAAGGAUGAUAAUGCCUAUUUUAAAGGCUGUUGAAGUAUUAAGUAAGCUAAUUAUGUCAAUUAUAGGACAUAUUGUGUAACAUUUUAGUUACAUUAAAACUCAUAGCUAUUAUUAUAUAAUUAUCAGAGUUUAGUUAUCGUCCUAUUAUUGGCUAUAUUAAUUGUGCGAACUUUUGUACUUGUAUGUAUUUCCAGUAAGAGAGCUUCUGGGAAUGUAAAUGUCUUUUUCUUUUUCAGGGAUUUUUUUCUUAGUGGUUAUCUCCUUGGAGGCCUCAUGAAGAAGGAUGUGGGUUCUGUAGGGUACAGUGUGAUCUUGGUCCUGCAUAAUCUCCUUUCUAAACUUCAGAAAAUCAUGUACCUUGGAGUUGUGGAGGCAUGUUUAGAAGCAGAUCUGAGUUUUGCCACACUGGAAUUUAUUUAUUCAUUGAACAAAUGUUUGAUACCUACUACAGUUCUCUCUUUAGCUGGACAUGGAUGAAGCUGGAAACCAUCAUUCUCAGCAA
Sapajus apella (tufted capuchin) is the source of this 5312-nucleotide long non-coding RNA. RefSeq lists it as uncharacterized. The transcript has 3 exons. The record is from RefSeq and is a predicted model, not a curated record. NCBI's taxonomy places the organism in Eukaryota, Metazoa, Chordata, Mammalia, Primates, Cebidae.